CAAGAAGUAGUUUAAUUAGAAUACCAGCUUUGGGUGCUGGUGGUGGGGAGUAAUACCUCCUNCUUGA
This 67-nucleotide transfer RNA is filed under the name Mus musculus castaneus (southeastern Asian house mouse). RNAcentral's name for it is "tRNA-Pro". It matches the Rfam family "tRNA". From Rfam's summary of the family: Transfer RNA (tRNA) molecules are approximately 80 nucleotides in length. Their secondary structure includes four short double-helical elements and three loops (D, anti-codon, and T loops). Further hydrogen bonds mediate the characteristic L-shaped molecular structure. tRNAs have two regions of fundamental functional importance: the anti-codon, which is responsible for specific mRNA codon recognition, and the 3' end, to which the tRNAs corresponding amino acid is attached (by aminoacyl-tRNA synthetases). tRNAs cope with the degeneracy of the genetic code in two manners: having more than one tRNA (with a specific anti-codon) for a particular amino acid; and 'wobble' base-pairing, i.e. permitting non-standard base-pairing at the 3rd anti-codon position. The record is from RNAcentral. Lineage: Eukaryota; Metazoa; Chordata; Mammalia; Rodentia; Muridae.